GACGAACGCCGGCGGCGUGCUUAACACAUGCAAGUCGAACGGAAAGGCCCUGCUUUUGUGGGGUGCUCGAGUGGCGAACGGGUGAGUAACACGUGAGUAACCUGCCCUUGACUUUGGGAUAACUUCAGGAAACUGGGGCUAAUACCGGAUAGGAGCUCCUGCUGCAUGGUGGGGGUUGGAAAGUUUCGGCGGUUGGGGAUGGACUCGCGGCUUAUCAGCUUGUUGGUGGGGUAGUGGCUUACCAAGGCUUUGACGGGUAGCCGGCCUGAGAGGGUGACCGGCCACAUUGGGACUGAGAUACGGCCCAGACUCCUACGGGAGGCAGCAGUGGGGAAUAUUGCACAAUGGGCGGAAGCCUGAUGCAGCAACGCCGCGUGCGGGAUGACGGCCUUCGGGUUGUAAACCGCUUUCGCCUGUGACGAAGCGUGAGUGACGGUAAUGGGUAAAGAAGCACCGGCUAACUACGUGCCAGCAGCCGCGGUGAUACGUAGGGUGCGAGCGUUGUCCGGAUUUAUUGGGCGUAAAGGGCUCGUAGGUGGUUGAUCGCGUCGGAAGUGUAAUCUUGGGGCUUAACCCUGAGCGUGCUUUCGAUACGGGUUGACUUGAGGAAGGUAGGGGAGAAUGGAAUUCCUGGUGGAGCGGUGGAAUGCGCAGAUAUCAGGAGGAACACCAGUGGCGAAGGCGGUUCUCUGGGCCUUUCCUGGCGCUGAGGAGCGAAAGCGUGGGGAGCGAACAGGCUUAGAUACCCUGGUAGUCCACGCUGUAAACGGUGGGUACUAGGUGUGGGGUCCAUUCCACGGGUUCCGUGCCGUAGCUAACGCUUUAAGUACCCCGCCUGGGGAGUACGGCCGCAAGGCUAAAACUCAAAGGAAUUGACGGGGCCCCGCACAAGCGGCGGAGCAUGCGGAUUAAUUCGAUGCAACGCGUAGAACCUUACCUGGGUUUGACAUGGAUCGGGAGCGCUCAGAGAUGGGUGUGCCUCUUUUGGGGUCGGUUCACAGGUGGUGCAUGGCUGUCGUCAGCUCGUGUCGUGAGAUGUUGGGUUAAGUCCCGCAACGAGCGCAACCCUUGUUCACUGUUGCCAGCACGUUAUGGUGGGGACUCAGUGGAGGCCGCCGGGGCCAACUCGGAGGAAGGUGGGGAUGACGUCAAGUCAUCAUGCCCCUUAUGUCCAGGGCUUCACGCAUGCUACAAUGGCUGGUACAGAGAGUGGCGAGCCUGUGAGGGUGAGCGAAUCUCGGAAAGCCGGUCUCAGUUCGGAUUGGGGUCUGCAACUCGACCUCAUGAAGUCGGAGUCGCUAGUAAUCGCAGAUCAGCAACGCUGCGGUGAAUACGUUCCCGGG
Molecule: ribosomal RNA, 1343 nt
Filed under: uncultured bacterium
Lineage: Bacteria
Description: 16S ribosomal RNA
Rfam family: Bacterial small subunit ribosomal RNA
Source: RNAcentral